RNAcentral lists this ribosomal RNA (497 nucleotides) under uncultured bacterium. RNAcentral's name for it is "partial 16S ribosomal RNA". It matches the Rfam family "Bacterial small subunit ribosomal RNA", at positions 28 to 507 of the family's 1533-position model. The record is from RNAcentral.
GAUGAACGCUGGCGGCGUGCCUAAUACAUGCAAGUCGAGCGAACAGACGAGGAGCUUGCUCCUCUGACGUUAGCGGCGGACGGGUGAGUAACACGUGGAUAACCUACCUAUAAGACUGGGAUAACUUCGGGAAACCGGAGCUAAUACCGGAUAAUAUAUUGAACCGCAUGGUUCAAUAGUGAAAGACGGUUUUGCUGUCACUUAUAGAUGGAUCCGCGCCGCAUUAGCUAGUUGGUAAGGUAACGGCUUACUAAGGCAACGAUGCGUAGCCGACCUGAGGGGGUGAUCGGCCACACUGGAACUGAGACACGGUCCAGACUCCUACGGGAGGCAGCAGUAGGGAAUCUUCCGCAAUGGGCGAAAGCCUGACGGAGCAACGCCGCGUGAGUGAUGAAGGUCUUCGGAUCGUAAAACUCUGUUAUUAGGGAAGAACAAAUGUGUAAGUAACUAUGCACGUCUUGACGGUACCUAAUCAGAAAGCCACGGCUAACUACGUG